Transfer RNA from Felis catus (domestic cat), 85 nucleotides. It matches the Rfam family "tRNA". From Rfam's summary of the family: Transfer RNA (tRNA) molecules are approximately 80 nucleotides in length. Their secondary structure includes four short double-helical elements and three loops (D, anti-codon, and T loops). The record is from Rfam. NCBI's taxonomy places the organism in Eukaryota, Metazoa, Chordata, Mammalia, Carnivora, Felidae.
GCCUAGGUGGCUCAGUCGGUUGAGCGUCCGACUUCAGUUCGGGUCAUGAUCUCACUGCUCGUGGGUUCGAGCCCCGCGUCGGGCU